UGGGGAAUAUUGCACAAUGGGCGCAAGCCUGAUGCAGCCAUGCCGCGUGUGUGAAGAAGGCCUUCGGGUUGUAAAGCACUUUCAGCGGGGAGGAAGGCGUUAAGGUUAAUAACCUUGGCGAUUGACGUUACCCGCAGAAGAAGCACCGGCUAACUCCGUGCCAGCAGUCGCGGUAAUACGGAGGGUGCAAGCGUUAAUCGGAAUUACUGGGCGUAAAGCGCACGCAGGCGGUCUGUCAAGUCGGAUGUGAAAUCCCCGGGCUCAACCUGGGAACUGCAUUCGAAACUGGCAGGCUAGAGUCUUGUAGAGGGGGGUAGAAUUCCAGGUGUAGCGGUGAAAUGCGUAGAGAUCUGGAGGAAUACCGGUGGCGAAGGCGGCCCCCUGGACAAAGACUGACGCUCAGGUGCGAAAGCGUGGGGAGCAAACAGG
RNAcentral lists this ribosomal RNA (429 nucleotides) under Chloroflexota bacterium. RNAcentral describes it as "Chloroflexi bacterium partial 16S ribosomal RNA". It matches the Rfam family "Bacterial small subunit ribosomal RNA", at positions 355 to 776 of the family's 1533-position model. Lineage: Bacteria; Bacillati; Chloroflexota. The record is from RNAcentral.